UGGGGAAUUUUGGACAAUGGGCGCAAGCCUGAUCCAGCAAUGCCGCGUGCAGGAAGAAGGCCUUCGGGUUGUAAACUGCUUUUGUACGGAACGAAACGGCUCUGGUUAAUACCUGGGGCUAAUGACGGUACCGUAAGAAUAAGCACCGGCUAACUACGUGCCAGCAGCCGCGGUAAUACGUAGGGUGCAAGCGUUAAUCGGAAUUACUGGGCGUAAAGCGUGCGCAGGCGGUUGUGUAAGACAGGCGUGAAAUCCCCGGGCUCAACCUGGGAAUUGCGCUUGUGACUGCACGGCUGGAGUGCGGCAGAGGGGGAUGGAAUUCCGCGUGUAGCAGUGAAAUGCGUAGAUAUGCGGAGGAACACCGAUGGCGAAGGCAAUCCCCUGGGCCUGCACUGACGCU
RNAcentral lists this ribosomal RNA (400 nucleotides) under uncultured bacterium. Its description in RNAcentral is "bacterial SSU rRNA". It matches the Rfam family "Bacterial small subunit ribosomal RNA", at positions 355 to 747 of the family's 1533-position model. The record is from RNAcentral.